Long non-coding RNA from Peromyscus eremicus (cactus mouse), 669 nucleotides. RefSeq lists it as uncharacterized. Lineage: Eukaryota; Metazoa; Chordata; Mammalia; Rodentia; Cricetidae. The record is from RefSeq and is a predicted model, not a curated record. The transcript is spliced from 2 exons.
CCAAGUUCUGAGGGUUAAGUUACAAAUGUCCUUCACAUGACACUGUCUUGCCACUCCAUUUAGGGGUAAGACUAAACAAGAAAACGAACAGAUUGGGUGAAUACUGGGAGAAACGGCCCGCAUUUCUUACAGGAUCCGUCGUCACCGUAGAACCAGGACAAGUUUCAUUUUCCUAAACUGUCUGGCUUUCUCACUUUCCCUUAACAGUCAGUGAGACAGAGAAGCGGCCAACCCUGAAAAUAAAAUGAUUCCGCGUCUGUCCCCAGGGCCGGAGUUCUCUGAGCUACAGAUCUACGAAGGGCACGAGAAAGAGGGGAAAACAGAAAAGAAAUCAUCUCAGCUAAUUCAAUUGUGGGUUUCCUCGGAUCAAAGACAAACUACCAGAGCAUACCAAGCUCAAGACUUUACGCGUAGGAUGCUGGAGGCCCUCUCCUCAUGAAUUACAUUAAGGCUAUAUAUGGUACACAUGUGGCCUCCGUGGAAGUGUAUUUAAAAGAUGAUUUUUUUUUAUCACUGGCAAUCUAAGGAACAGCAUCCAAGGAGGUCUCAUUCUGGUGAUGUUUAAGUUCUAGAAGGUUGGAGGAAGUGAGCAAAAUGAGUAAACACUAAAAGGGACAGUAAAAGGGACUGAAUCCCAAAGGAGCAAAUAAAACUCCUAGAAAAUCUGUA